AUUCGUACAAGAAUCUUUGGGCUUCUCUUCACACCCUCACACUUCCCCCUCAGAAAGAAUAUUCACUUCCUCAAAGACCCAACCUCUCUCCAACACCUCAUGCCGAUCCUGUGAUCUUAUUGGAAGGAUCAACAGUCAUAAAAACCACAAAAAAACAAAUGCAAAAUAGCUAGCCAGCACGGAUAUAAGUGACAGUCAGUCACUUCAGCUUGCAACAGGCAGAGCGAGGAAGGAGAGAAGAAGAAGAAGAUCACUGCUUGAGAAAAAAUACCAAACACCCCGUCAAUAACACCACAAGAUGGCCGGUAGGACGAAUGGACUGGAAAAUUAUUUUCUCUUUGAAAAAGUGUGAGAGCGAGAAAACAAAGUGCAUUUUAAUAUAUUUUUCUAGACAAGACUAAUUUCUUCGGUGAAUCAUCAUCAUCCACAGAGCCGACGACCCAUUCUCGAUUUGAAGAAGAAGAAGAAGAAGACUUUAACCUGACCCGGGAUGAUUUUGAUGAGCUGGACAGGCUCGAUAAUCAGACUCGAAAUCUGACCUCGACAGCCAGUGAAGUCCCAGGACCUUC
Long non-coding RNA from Salarias fasciatus (jewelled blenny), 569 nucleotides. RefSeq lists it as uncharacterized. The record is from RefSeq and is a predicted model, not a curated record. The transcript is spliced from 3 exons. Lineage: Eukaryota; Metazoa; Chordata; Actinopteri; Blenniiformes; Blenniidae.